GACGAACGCUGGCGGCGUGCUUAACACAUGCCAGUCGAACGGGAUGAUUUAGAAGCUUGCUUUUAGAGAAUCUAGUGGCAAACGGGUGAGUAACACGUAGGCAACCUGCCGACAGGAUGGGGACAACAUUCCGAAAGGAAUGCUAAUACCGAAUGAAGCGCAGGAGAGGCAUCUCUCCUGCGUGAAAGAUGGCCUCUAUUUAUAAGCUAUCACCUGUCGAUGGGCCUGCGUUUGAUUAGCUGGUUGGUGAGGUACCGGCUCACCAAGGCGACGAUCAGUAGCCGGUCUGAGAGGAUGAACGGCCACAUUGGGACUGAGACACGGCCCAGAAUCCUACGGGAGGCAGCAGUGGGGAAUCUUCCGCAAUGGGCGCAAGCCUGACGGAGCAACGCCGCGUGAGUGAAGAAGGUCGUCGGAUCGUAAAGCUCUGUUGAUGGGGACGAACGUGCGAAGGGUGAAUAAACCUUUGUAAUGACGGUACCUGUCGAGGAAGCCACGGCUAACUACGUG
This 510-nucleotide ribosomal RNA is filed under the name uncultured bacterium. RNAcentral's name for it is "partial 16S ribosomal RNA". It matches the Rfam family "Bacterial small subunit ribosomal RNA", at positions 28 to 507 of the family's 1533-position model. The record is from RNAcentral.